CCUACGGGUGGCAGCAGUGAGGAAUCUUCGUCAAUGGACGAGAGUCUGACCCAGCCACGUAGCGUGAAGGAUGACUGCCCUCUGGGUUGUAAACUUCUUUUAUAAAGGAAUAAAACGAGGCAAGUGAGCCUGUUUGCAUGGACUUUAUGAAUAAGGAUCGGCACACUCCGGGCCAGCAGCCGCGGUACUACGGAGGAUCCGAGCGUUAUCCGGACUUAUUGGGUUUAAAGGGAGCGUAGAUGGGUUGUUAAGUCAGUUGGGAAAGUUUGCGGCUCAACCGUAAAAUUGCAAUUGAGACUGGCAGUCUUGAGUACAGUUGAGGUAGGCGGAAUUCGUGGUGUAGCGGUGAAAUGCUUAGAGAUCACGAGGAACCCCGAUGGCGAAGGCAGCUUACUGGGCUGUGACUGACAUUGAUGCUCGAAAGUGUGGGUAUCAAACAGGAUUAGAUACCCCAGUAGUC
Molecule: ribosomal RNA, 460 nt
Filed under: uncultured bacterium
Lineage: Bacteria
Description: partial 16S ribosomal RNA
Rfam family: Bacterial small subunit ribosomal RNA
Source: RNAcentral